Long non-coding RNA from Impatiens glandulifera, 408 nucleotides. RefSeq lists it as uncharacterized. The record is from RefSeq and is a predicted model, not a curated record. NCBI's taxonomy places the organism in Eukaryota, Viridiplantae, Streptophyta, Magnoliopsida, Ericales, Balsaminaceae. The transcript has 2 exons.
UUUUCUUCAAAGUGUGCGAUUAAUGAUAUUAGGUUUCUUUUGAGUUUUUCCCGUGGCCCAUACCAUAUUUGCGGUGCUGUGAAUCUGUGAAAAUAAUUUUGCUGCUAAAAGGUGAACUGAAUGUUGUUCUUUCCCAGUUGGAAGAUGGAUGGAAGUUUUCCAUGGUAGUAGGGCUUGGAAAGAAGGAAGUUGAUGCUGUAAUUGUGGUGCAAUUUCUGGUGUAAAUAAUAAAUAGUGAAAAUGAGAUUUCAUCAACUUUUUAUUUUAGUUUUAAAUCAUGAUACUAUUUGUUUGUUUUUUUUCUUAGGUUGAUGAUGAUACAAAGUGUGUUGAUGACAUGAUUUUGGCAUGUCCAAUGUUUUAUGAAUUUAGUAGAGUUACAAAAUCAUUUAAACAAGUUUUGUUGUU